GUGAACGCUGGCGGUAGGCCUAACCCAUGCCAGUCGAACGGCAGCACAGUAAGAGCUUGCUCUUACGGGUGGCGAGUGGCGGACGGGUGAGGAAUACAUCGGAAUCUACUUUUUCGUGGGGGAUAACGUAGGGAAACUUACGCUAAUACCGCAUACGACCUACGGGUGAAAGCAGGGGAUCUUCGGACCUUGCGCGAUUGAAUGAGCCGAUGUCGGAUUAGCUAGUUGGCGGGGUAAAGGCCCACCAAGGCGACGAUCCGUAGCUGGUCUGAGAGGAUGAUCAGCCACACUGGAACUGAGACACGGUCCAGACUCCUACGGGAGGCAGCAGUGGGGAAUAUUGGACAAUGGGCGCAAGCCUGAUCCAGCCAUACCGCGUGGGUGAAGAAGGCCUUCGGGUUGUAAAGCCCUUUUGUUGGGAAAGAAAAGCAGCAGGUUAAUACCCCGCUGUUCUGACGGUACCCAAAGAAUAAGCACCGGCUAACUUCGU
This 490-nucleotide ribosomal RNA is filed under the name uncultured bacterium. Its description in RNAcentral is "partial 16S ribosomal RNA". It matches the Rfam family "Bacterial small subunit ribosomal RNA", at positions 29 to 506 of the family's 1533-position model. The record is from RNAcentral.